AUUGAACGCUGGCGGCAGGCCUAACACAUGCAAGUCGAGCGGAUGAAGGGAGCUUGCUCCUGGAUUCAGCGGCGGACGGGUGAGUAAUGCCUAGGAAUCUGCCUGGUAGUGGGGGAUAACGUCCGGAAACGGGCGCUAAUACCGCAUACGUCCUGAGGGAGAAAGUGGGGGAUCUUCGGACCUCACGCUAUCAGAUGAGCCUAGGUCGGAUUAGCUAGUUGGUGGGGUAAAGGCCUACCAAGGCGACGAUCCGUAACUGGUCUGAGAGGAUGAUCAGUCACACUGGAACUGAGACACGGUCCAGACUCCUCCGGGAGGCAGCAGUGGGGAAUAUUGGACAAUGGGCGAAAGCCUGAUCCAGCCAUGCCGCGUGUGUGAAGAAGGUCUUCGGAUUGUAAAGCACUUUAAGUUGGGAGGAAGGGCAGUAAGUUAAUACCUUGCUGUUUUGACGUUACCAACAGAAUAAGCACCGGCUAACUUCGUG
Molecule: ribosomal RNA, 484 nt
Filed under: uncultured bacterium
Lineage: Bacteria
Description: partial 16S ribosomal RNA
Rfam family: Bacterial small subunit ribosomal RNA
Source: RNAcentral